AGCUCGUAGUUGAAUUUCGGGGUUCUACCGUCGGUCGGGCUACCAAGUCUGUACUGGUGUGUAGAAUUUCUACCUUCUGGAGAACCAUCAUGUUAUUAAUUUAGCGUGGUGGGAAACCAGGACCUUUACCUUGAAAAAAUUAGAGUGUUCAAAGCAGGCUUAUGUCUGAAUACAUUAGCAUGGAAUAAUAGAAUAGGACGGUGGUCCUGUUUUGUUGGUUUCUGAAUCACCGUAAUGAUUAAUAGGGAUAGUUGGG
RNAcentral lists this ribosomal RNA (256 nucleotides) under uncultured Glomeromycotina. RNAcentral describes it as "partial 18S ribosomal RNA". It matches the Rfam family "Eukaryotic small subunit ribosomal RNA", at positions 625 to 886 of the family's 1831-position model. Lineage: Eukaryota; Fungi; Glomeromycota. The record is from RNAcentral.